GCUCCCUGAUGUUAGCGGCGGACGGGUGAGUAACACGUGGGUAACCUGCCUGUAAGACUGGGAUAACUCCGGGAAACCGGGGCUAAUACCGGAUGGUUGUUUGAACCGCAUGGUUCAAACAUAAAAGGUGGCUUCGGCUACCACUUACAGAUGGACCCGCGGCGCAUUAGCUAGUUGGUGAGGUAACGGCUCACCAAGGCGACGAUGCGUAGCCGACCUGAGAGGGUGAUCGGCCACACUGGGACUGAGACACGGCCCAGACUCCUACGGGAGGCAGCAGUAGGGAAUCUUCCGCAAUGGACGAAAGUCUGACGGAGCAACGCCGCGUGAGUGAUGAAGGUUUUCGGAUCGUAAAGCUCUGUUGUUAGGGAAGAACAAGUGCCGUUCAAAUAGGGCGGUACCUU
RNAcentral lists this ribosomal RNA (404 nucleotides) under Bacillus subtilis. RNAcentral's name for it is "bacterial SSU rRNA". It matches the Rfam family "Bacterial small subunit ribosomal RNA", at positions 81 to 481 of the family's 1533-position model. Lineage: Bacteria; Bacillati; Bacillota; Bacilli; Caryophanales; Bacillaceae. The record is from RNAcentral.